UACGGGGGGAGCAAGCGUUGUUAGGAUUUACUGGGCGUAAAGGGCGCGUAGGCGGCGUGACAAGUCACUUGUGAAAUCUCCGGGCUUAACUCGGAACGGUCAAGUGAUACUGUCGUGCUAGAGUACAGAAGGGGCAACUGGAAUUCUCGGUGUAGCGGUGAAAUGCGUAGAUAUCGAGAGGAACACCUGCGGCGAAGGCGGGUUGCUGGGCUGAUACUGACGCUGAGGCGCGAAAGCCAGGGGAGCGAACGGG
RNAcentral lists this ribosomal RNA (253 nucleotides) under uncultured bacterium. Its description in RNAcentral is "partial 16S ribosomal RNA". It matches the Rfam family "Bacterial small subunit ribosomal RNA", at positions 524 to 776 of the family's 1533-position model. The record is from RNAcentral.